CCCCUACGGGGCGCAGCAGUGGGGAAUAUUGCACAAUGGGGGGAACCCUGAUGCAGCGACGCCGCGUGGGUGAAGGAGUAUUUCGGUAUGUGAAGCCCUAUCAGCAGGGACGAACAGAUGACGGUACCUGAAGAACAAGCCCCGGCUAACUACGUGCCAGCAGCCGCGGUAAAACGUAGGGGGCGAGCGUUGUCCGGAAUGACUGGGCGUAAAGGGUGCGUAGGCGGCAUAAUAAGUUAGAAGUGAAAUACCCAGAGCUUAACUCGGGUGCUGCUUCUAAGACUGUUGAGCUUGAGUGCGGGAGG
Molecule: ribosomal RNA, 305 nt
Filed under: uncultured bacterium
Lineage: Bacteria
Description: bacterial SSU rRNA
Rfam family: Bacterial small subunit ribosomal RNA
Source: RNAcentral